CCUACGGGUGGCUGCAGUGGGGAAUAUUGGACAAUGGGGGGAACCCUGAUCCAGCCAUGCCGCGUGUGUGAAGAAGGCCCUCGGGUUGUAAAGCACUUUCAGUGAGGAAGAACGCCUGGUGGUUAAUACCCAUCAGGAAAGACAUCACUCACAGAAGAAGCACCGGCUAACUCCGUGCCAGCAGCCGCGGUAAUACGGAGGGUGCGAGCGUUAAUCGGAAUUACUGGGCGUAAAGCGCGCGUAGGUGGCUUGAUAAGCCGGUUGUGAAAGCCCCGGGCUCAACCUGGGAACGGCAUCCGGAACUGUCAAGUUAGAGUGCAGAGGAGGAAGUAAAAAUUCCCGUUGAAGCGGUAAAUGCGGAGAGAUCCGGGAGAAAUACCGUUGCCAAAGGCGCCCUUCUGACUGACACUGACACUGAGGUGCGAAAGCGUGGGUAGCAAACAGGAUUAGAUACCCUGGUAGUC
RNAcentral lists this ribosomal RNA (464 nucleotides) under Vreelandella stevensii. Its description in RNAcentral is "partial 16S ribosomal RNA". It matches the Rfam family "Bacterial small subunit ribosomal RNA", at positions 338 to 795 of the family's 1533-position model. Lineage: Bacteria; Pseudomonadati; Pseudomonadota; Gammaproteobacteria; Oceanospirillales; Halomonadaceae. The record is from RNAcentral.